Molecule: long non-coding RNA, 515 nt
Filed under: Capsicum annuum
Lineage: Eukaryota; Viridiplantae; Streptophyta; Magnoliopsida; Solanales; Solanaceae
Description: long non-coding RNA (CANN_LNC001573)
Source: RNAcentral
UGGAUGUGUAUAUGUUGGAUCGGGUACCACGCCGGUACGGAUGUGUAUAUAUUGGAUCGGGUACGAUGAUAACGCUCAAAUUACACUCUUGAGUGGGUGUAAGCGAUCAUUGUCAAUAUAAAACCCAACUAGAUUGGGGUUGAAUCCCGCAGGAAAUAUGGUGUGAACUUCAAUUUGUUUACGAAAUACUUUACUUGUAGUUUAAUAUUUCCGGAAAUGGGGGUUUAAGGUCCACAGAGAGUUAAUUGUCAGUUUCAAUAUUUUAGUGUUUGAAAUAAGUCUAAAUGGGAAACCAGAGUUAUGUUCACCAUGGGUUUUGUGAAUUGACAGAUACUAGGUAAUGCUUAGGAUUCUUGAAGUAAGUAGAAACAACAGAAUAGCCCUGACGACGAUACUAUCUGACUUAUCUCUCGACCUCACCAGACAAUUUAUUAUCUAAUUCUCUCGAACUUAGAUAACUUAUCUAUAUCCAAUAGGAUUUUAUCUCAGGUAGAUCAAUCCAGUUAUGACAUUGA